UAACAUGCGAUGAAGAAGAAGAGUACACAUUUCUUCCCAUUUAAAGAGAGUCCGCGGUGCUGGGAGCGGAUAAUGGCGAAUGUGGAAUGGGCUUCGGAGCAGCUGACCGAACACGGAUAAGUAGGCUCAGCCGGAGAAGACUCCGUUACAAACGUCUAAAGCGAUUUCAUUUUGACCAUAAUGAAAUAAUCAGGGUGGCACCACGGUUCAUUCGUCCCUUUU
This 222-nucleotide non-coding RNA is filed under the name Bacillus licheniformis. Its description in RNAcentral is "T-box sequence". It matches the Rfam family "T-box leader". Rfam says of the family: Uncharged tRNA acts as the effector for transcription antitermination of genes in the T-box leader family. T-boxes are found upstream of many aminoacyl-tRNA synthetase genes and some amino acid biosynthetic genes usually in Gram-positive bacteria. The anticodon of a specific tRNA base pairs to a specifier sequence within the T-box motif, and the NCCA acceptor tail of the tRNA base pairs to a conserved bulge in the T-box antiterminator hairpin. The record is from RNAcentral. Lineage: Bacteria; Bacillati; Bacillota; Bacilli; Caryophanales; Bacillaceae.